Molecule: long non-coding RNA, 146 nt
Organism: Etheostoma spectabile (orangethroat darter)
Lineage: Eukaryota; Metazoa; Chordata; Actinopteri; Perciformes; Percidae
Exons: 3
Source: RefSeq, a predicted model, not a curated record
CAGAGAUGGGCUCUUAAGUUUCUUGGAAAUGAGUAAUUAAGCAUAAAUAAGCAUAAAAAUGACUUAUCAACUAAAGAAAUCUUAGUUGACUGAUACCAAAACCACAGAUUAGUCGACUAAUCAACUAAGAGGGGACAGCCCUAGUA